GAACGCUGGCGGCAGGCCUAACACAUGCAAGUCGAACGGUAGCACAGAGAGCUUGCUCUCGGGUGACGAGUGGCGGACGGGUGAGUAAUGUCUGGGAAACUGCCUGAUGGAGGGGGAUAACUACUGGAAACGGUAGCUAAUACCGCAUAACGUCGCAAGACCAAAGAGGGGGACCUUCGGGCCUCUUGCCAUCAGAUGUGCCCAGAUGGGAUUAGCUAGUAGGUGGGGGUAAUGGCUCACCUAGGCGACGAUCCCUAGCUGGUCUGAGAGGAUGACCAGCCACACUGGAACUGAGACACGGUCCAGACUCCUACGGGAGGCAGCAGUGGGGAAUAUUGCACAAUGGGCGCAAGCCUGAUGCAGCCAUGCCGCGUGUAUGAAGAAGGCCUUCGGGUUGUAAAGUACUUUCAGCGGGGAGGAAGGUGUUGUGGUUAAUAACCGCAGCAAUUGACGUUACCCGCAGAAGAAGCACCGGCUAACUCCGUGCCAGCCGCGGC
This 497-nucleotide ribosomal RNA is filed under the name uncultured bacterium. RNAcentral describes it as "bacterial SSU rRNA". It matches the Rfam family "Bacterial small subunit ribosomal RNA", at positions 31 to 518 of the family's 1533-position model. The record is from RNAcentral.